RNAcentral lists this long non-coding RNA (564 nucleotides) under Ananas comosus (pineapple). Its description in RNAcentral is "long non-coding RNA (ACOM_LNC006798)". Lineage: Eukaryota; Viridiplantae; Streptophyta; Magnoliopsida; Poales; Bromeliaceae. The record is from RNAcentral.
AUAUAUAUAUAUAGAGAGAGAGAGAGAGAGAGAGAGAGUAGGGCUACUAUACUCUUAUGAGUAAUUGAUCCUUCAUACUCAUAAGUUAUUUUGGAUGAUGAAGUUUCUGAAUCGACGAUCCACUACGUUGAAUAUGAUCUAGAGUAUGAAAUUUUUAAGUCUAUCAAACAGGCAUAAAAUGAACAGUCAAAAUCAAACGAUGCCUUAAAAAUGAAUGAUCGAAUCUUUUAAUUUAAGAUCAGAGUUAUUGAUUUUUAUCUAGGUAGUGAGUAGAAUUUUCUAUCAAAAAUCCAAUCUAUUCUAAUUCUUUUGCACCGCUAAACUAACAAGUAUUUUAUACCGGCUGUUAAAAAUUAUCAAUUUUGUGACCUUUAGAUCGUAAGGCAAUGAUGUGAAAAAAUUAUGAAAUUUGAUUUUUAGAAGUUUUAAAUGCUCUGGCUAAUGUUUAACGGUAUGGAUUGUCAAUUCGAAAGUUUUAUCAUCGAAAACGACUUAUGAGUAUGAUGACGAUCAUACUCAUAAGAGUAUAGUAGCCGGAUAUAUAUAUAUAUAUAUAUAUAUAUA